This 119-nucleotide ribosomal RNA is filed under the name Diaphorina citri (Asian citrus psyllid). The record is from RNAcentral. Lineage: Eukaryota; Metazoa; Arthropoda; Insecta; Hemiptera; Psyllidae.
GCCAGUUGCAAUAGCAUAUUGAAAACAGUAGUUCCCAAGGAAUCACUAAAGUUAAACUAUGUUGUACAUGGUUGGUAUCAGGGAUGGGUGACCACCUGGUCAAUCUUAAGUUGCUGUCU